Molecule: ribosomal RNA, 980 nt
Filed under: Salmonella enterica subsp. enterica serovar Schwarzengrund
Lineage: Bacteria; Pseudomonadati; Pseudomonadota; Gammaproteobacteria; Enterobacterales; Enterobacteriaceae
Description: bacterial SSU rRNA
Rfam family: Bacterial small subunit ribosomal RNA
Source: RNAcentral
AAAUUGAAGAGUUUGAUCAUGGCUCAGAUUGAACGCUGGCGGCAGGCCUAACACAUGCAAGUCGAACGGUAACAGGAAGCAGCUUGCUGCUUUGCUGACGAGUGGCGGACGGGUGAGUAAUGUCUGGGAAACUGCCCGAUGGAGGGGGAUAACUACUGGAAACGGUGGCUAAUACCGCAUAACGUCGCAAGACCAAAGAGGGGGACCUUCGGGCCUCUUGCCAUCAGAUGUGCCCAGAUGGGAUUAGCUUGUUGGUGAGGUAACGGCUCACCAAGGCGACGAUCCCUAGCUGGUCUGAGAGGAUGACCAGCCACACUGGAACUGAGACACGGUCCAGACUCCUACGGGAGGCAGCAGUGGGGAAUAUUGCACAAUGGGCGCAAGCCUGAUGCAGCCAUGCCGCGUGUAUGAAGAAGGCCUUCGGGUUGUAAAGUACUUUCAGCGGGGAGGAAGGUGUUGUGGUUAAUAACCACAGCAAUUGACGUUACCCGCAGAAGAAGCACCGGCUAACUCCGUGCCAGCAGCCGCGGUAAUACGGAGGGUGCAAGCGUUAAUCGGAAUUACUGGGCGUAAAGCGCACGCAGGCGGUCUGUCAAGUCGGAUGUGAAAUCCCCGGGCUCAACCUGGGAACUGCAUUCGAAACUGGCAGGCUUGAGUCUUGUAGAGGGGGGUAGAAUUCCAGGUGUAGCGGUGAAAUGCGUAGAGAUCUGGAGGAAUACCGGUGGCGAAGGCGGCCCCCUGGACAAAGACUGACGCUCAGGUGCGAAAGCGUGGGGAGCAAACAGGAUUAGAUACCCUGGUAGUCCACGCCGUAAACGAUGUCUACUUGGAGGUUGUGCCCUUGAGGCGUGGCUUCCGGAGCUAACGCGUUAAGUAGACCGCCUGGGGAGUACGGCCGCAAGGUUAAAACUCAAAUGAAUUGACGGGGGCCCGCACAAGCGGUGGAGCAUGUGGUUUAAUUCGAUGCAACGCGAAGAACC